RNAcentral lists this ribosomal RNA (468 nucleotides) under uncultured bacterium. RNAcentral's name for it is "partial 16S ribosomal RNA". It matches the Rfam family "Bacterial small subunit ribosomal RNA", at positions 28 to 507 of the family's 1533-position model. The record is from RNAcentral.
GACGAACGCUGGCGGCGUGCUUAACACAUGCAAGUCGAACGGAAAGGCCCUGCUUUUGUGGGGUGCUCGAGUGGCGAACGGGUGAGUAACACGUGAGUAACCUGCCCUUGACUUUGGCAUAACUUCAGGAAACUGGGGAUAAUACCGGAUAGGAGCUCAUGCCGCAUGGUGGGGGUUGGAAAGUUUGGACGGUUGGGGAUGGAUUCGAGGGUCAUCAGCUUGUUGGUGGGGUAGUGGCUUACCAAGGUUUUGAGUGGUAGCCGGCCUGAGAGGGUGACCGGCCACAAUGGUACUGAGGUACGGACCAGUAGCCAACGGUCGGCAGCAGGGGGGAAUAUGGCGGAAUAGGGGGACGCCUGUUGCAGCAACGCCGCGUGCGUAAUGACGGCCUGUGAGUUAUAAACCGCUUUCGCCUUUGACGAAGCGUGAGUGACGGUAAUGGGUAAGGAAGCACCGGCUAACUACGUG